This 667-nucleotide ribosomal RNA is filed under the name uncultured cyanobacterium. RNAcentral describes it as "bacterial SSU rRNA". It matches the Rfam family "Bacterial small subunit ribosomal RNA", at positions 99 to 795 of the family's 1533-position model. The record is from RNAcentral. Lineage: Bacteria; Bacillati; Cyanobacteriota.
CGGACGGGUGAGUAACGCGUGAGUAUUUACCUUUAGGAGGGGGACAACAAUUGGAAACGAUUGCUAAUACCCCAUAUGCUUUAGAGUGAAAUAGGUUUAUCUGCCUAAAGAAAAGCUCGCGGCUGAUUAGCUAGUUGGUAAGGUAAUGGCUUACCAAGGCGACGAUCAGUAUCUGGUUUGAGAGGACGAUCAGACACACUGGAACUGAGACACGGUCCAGACUCCUACGGGAGGCAGCAGUGGGGAAUUUUCCGCAAUGGGCGAAAGCCUGACGGAGCAAUACCGCGUGAGGGAAGGCUGCCUAUGGGUUGUAAACCUCUUUUUUCAGGGAGGAAUAAAAUGACGUGUACCUGAAGAAUAAGCAUCGGCUAACUCCGUGCCAGCAGCCGCGGUAAGACGGAGGAUGCAAGUGUUAUCCGGAAUCACUGGGCGUAAAGCGUCUGUAGGUGGUUUGAUAAGUCAACUGUUAAAUCUUGAGGCUCAACUUCAAAAUCGCAGUCGAAACUAUUAGACUAGAGUAUAGUAGAGGUAAAGGGAAUUUCCAGUGGAGCGGUGAAAUGCGUAGAUAUUGGAAAGAACACCGAUGGCGAAGGCACUUUACUGGGCUAUUACUAACACUCAGAGACGAAAGCUAGGGUAGCAAAUGGGAUUAGAUACCCCAGUAGUC